UUUGUCUUCCCUUCAGCUUCCUCCUUGGGUUUUUGUUCCCAGUAAUGUGGUACUAUGCCACGAUUCUGUACUUCUGGAAUUCUCGUCGAGAUCCAAGGGAACGAGCUGGAUUAGCUGCGUCCUCCAUUGCUGCACUUGCAUGUUCGGUCAUCUUGUUAGUCGUCGUAGCUGUUCGCUUAUUAUAGCCCCUCGGUCUCCAUUAUUGACACUGCAUUCUUAAAUCCCUGUCCCCAUGGGCGUUGGGGGCUUGGCAAUGCAGUCUCAAACAGAUCAGAUUCUGUGGAUGCAGCAGAUAAAAGACUAAAGAGCUCUGUUGCUUGACAAGGACAAGGGUGAUUUCUGUUACUGUAAAUGUUUACAAAUCAUAUUUCAAAAGAGAAUUGUCGGCUUUUGUAAUACUACACUAAGAAUACGUAAUACAUGGCCUUUGAGUCCCUAAGAUUUUAAAGCUAA
Molecule: non-coding RNA, 453 nt
Organism: Cucurbita pepo subsp. pepo (vegetable marrow)
Lineage: Eukaryota; Viridiplantae; Streptophyta; Magnoliopsida; Cucurbitales; Cucurbitaceae
Source: RefSeq, a predicted model, not a curated record